Molecule: long non-coding RNA, 8792 nt
Organism: Lagopus leucura (white-tailed ptarmigan)
Lineage: Eukaryota; Metazoa; Chordata; Aves; Galliformes; Phasianidae
Exons: 5
Source: RefSeq, a predicted model, not a curated record
UUUUCUCUUCUUUUUUCUUUUUUUCCUUCAUCUCUUUUUUCUCUUUUUUUUUUUUUUUUCUUCCUUCCCAUCCCCAACCCACCCGUUCCCCGGGGGCCAUUUUGGGCUCCCCCAUGCCGCACUGUCUGCCAGUCCCCGCCCGGAGCCGGCAGCAGGUGCGCGGUGGGGGCCAUGCAGGAGCUGCGGGCUGCAGCCGCUGUCCGCUUUUUCCGUCGUUGCCGGGCGGAGAGAGGUGCUGUGAGGCGCGUCCCUCCACUGCAGAAAAGCGGGGCUUCUCUGUAUGUCUGCUUGCAGAGGAAUUACCACUCCUGAGCAAGUAGGGCUCGCGUUAAUGUAUCCCUUCCCGUUCUCCAGCGCUUUUUCCCCCGAGGUAACAGCCAUAGGGCACUGCUAUGCUUGGAGCCGCGGAGCCUCCGGGCGGCCUAAGGGCGGAGCGGGGUGGAGACUGCGCACAGGUCCGGCGUCCAGCAUCGCUCCGAGCCGCUCCCCGCCGGGGGAACCGGGGGAACGGUGCUCCGGGAUGGCUGCUUUUUUUUUUUUUUCUCGUUUUUUAUCCCCCAUUUUGCCCUCUUCAGAAGUGCGGUGCAAAUGAAGGCUGGGGCGGGGUGGCCGCCGCGGGACCACGGAUCCCGCUGGCCGGGAGCGCUUCUAGAGAUUUUGGGAUUGCUCCUUUCAGACAGUGGGGGACGUGUAAGGUGCAGUAGUUGGGCAUGGCGUCCCGACAGAGCAGCAGCUGUCACCCAGCAGCUCUAUCCCAUGGCACUCAAGAUUGUUCUGAGCUUCUUUAUGGCUCUUAAAACUUCUGUCAUGGAGUUGUGUCUUGUAUUUUACCAUCUGACUUCUAAACAAACGCAUCUCAUUUCCUACACACUGUGAGCAGCCCCAUAUGAGUAAGUGUUCUGCAGCUUUUAUUUUCUCUUACUGGGAAGCUUUCAGAACAGUAGAGGAGAGACAGCCAUGGCUGAGAACAAGGAAGCUGUAUUUUCUUCCUACUGAUGGACUCAUCGGUAACUGCUAGUAAAAGCAAGAAAAAAUACUGUUGUCUUUUUCUUUUUUUUUCCCCACCUGAUUUGAUUCCAACUAGAAGUUUGAGGUGAUUUCUUGCCAUUCACACCAAAGUGGUUCUGACAGAUUGAGGAAAGAGCAGAGAACCGAGGAAAUCAUGUGUUGCGAAUGUGAGGGAGAUAAAAGUAGAGGCAUGCAGCGUUGCCAGGACUGUAUGUGUGGGUGUGCAGCGUUCGUCCCAGUUCGCAGCAAGCAGCCUGGCAGCCUGGCAGGGCUCCUGCCAACAGGUCUCAAUGGGGCUGAGCCUUCAGUAGCUGCUGUGGGGCUGCAGCCAUGAGUGUGCAGUGAUAGAGCUGUGCUCCCUUGGCGGGCUGCACUCACACCCGCAGAUUGUUUCGUUUUAUUUCAGUUCUGGGAAGUAUAAAAAUUGCACGGAGACUUGCUUUAAGAAAACAAAAUGUCAAGCUGAUGAUGAGUCAAAAAAAAAAAAACCAAAAAAAAAAAAAACAAGGAAGGAAAAUAUAGUGAGUAUUUGUAAAUCCUUCGCAGUGACAUCUUUCAGUGGUUAUCACUGAGUAGCACCUCUGCAGAUGUGCUCUCGGUGAAGCCAGCUAUUGGGUUUUCAGGCUGCCAACUGAAAGCACAGCUCCACAUGCCCUGCAGUUUGCAUUCCCCACCUUUUGGUGCCUACAGAGAUCAAUGAAUGCACUCCUGCGGGUCAAGUGCUGCCUCCUGCCCCCCAGUCAGUGGAUGCUGCUUGUUUGUGCGGUACUCUCGUUAAAUGCAUGAAAUGCUUGAGCUGUCACUGCUUCCUAGGUGAUGGGGAAGGGCAGAAUGUCCUCUGGCUCAGGGCUGUGCAGGAUGGUAAGACAAGGAUGGCGGGAUGGCACCCCUGGACUGCAGGGGCACACUGCAGUCGGGCUGCAGGCGUGAGCCUCAUCCUUCCCUCCUCACACCUUUGCAUGCUUCCUCUGUGAGCUUGGGCACUCAGACCAAUUAAUUCUAUUAACAAAGGGUGUAAAUUAGAAGUGUCUGUGAACUGUAUUGAGCCUCAAUUUGCAUGGUCUUAUUCACAACAAAAGUGGCUGCAAUUUGAUUUAAAUUAAUUCACUUUCAGAAUAAAAUAACACUGAGUAGAAUAAAAGCAGCUUUAGUUUUGAAUGGUUGUCUGCGUAGAAUUGUUUGUGGUUUAACUAAUCCACUUCAAAAAUAACUCUUAUUAAUUUUUGUGGGCUUUUCCCUCUAGGUUAGCUUGCUUUGUCUCUUUCUUUCAGUCUCCUAUCAGUAAAAUGGAGAUAGUAGUAGCCUGCUAACAUUUUAAAAUUGCUGUGUUGAAUACUCCUGGUAACUGCAGCAUUUUGCCUUCCACUCGGUGCGUAGGUUUCUCAAAACCCAGGACUUGAUUUUCUACACAUGUGUAGAAUUGUUGCCUGGCAGUGUUCUACAGGCUCUGUACGCAGCUGUACACGGCCGCACAAGACAGAUAGCAGUGGGGAAUGAAGGCUUUGCUGCGCAUUUUGAACUCUGACCAAACAACUCCUUGGCUUUGGUUCCGUGUUUUCUUCAAAGACUGUGGGCCAAGACUUAAGAACUGUCUAACUUUUGUCAUCUUAAUGAACGGUUUCAGUGGUGUUAAUGGGAACUAGGGCACUUUCUUUAUUAAUGGAAAUCAGGUCAUUUAAUUACCUAACAAAAAUGCACCUAACCUCGUCUCACUGCUUUCUGCACUUCAUGAAUUAUGAACUUUAAUCUGUUUUAGAGAAAGCUCUACUAAAACGGAUGAAGCUGCAGUGGGUAUAAAAUUAUCUUUUUAUAAUGGAAAUGCUUAUUGUAAAAAUCAACACACUAGCAUAACUUUCUUAUUGGAAGUCGCUGCUAUUUAAAUCUUCGCAGUGAUGUAGCAUAGUUUGACUAAGUCAUGGUAUGUAACUACUGAAAGGCCAGAUGAACACAUCAGCACAUCUUCUGUCAAAAAUGGGAACACUGAGAUAUUACUAUUUUUUUUUAAAUCAAAGCUUGGUGGGUUUUGGACUGGAGGGAUUCUUUUAUUCCUUCCCAUUCCUCCCCCCCAUCCUACUGUCUGCUUCAACGUUUUCCUUUCUUUCUUGAGUGGUUUCACUCCAAGCGGGACUUCUUUUGUGCCUUUCAGUUGCCAGAAGCUGGAGAAUUGUCAUUAUUUGAAUUUUGCUGUUGGUUGUUUUUUUAAAAUAAAAACCAAGAUGCUUUCCAGAGAGUCAGGAAGAAACCAGCUCUCGGAAAGUGCUAAGGAAACAGUGGCUUUAGCUGAACUUUUCUAUAUGAGAGAAAGGUAUAAAUCAUCUUCAGGCUUCAAAUCUAGCUGUUAAUAAUAAAGCACAUCACCUAAUGCUCUAAAAAUACCCCUGUGUAUAGACUAUGCAUACAACAAAAAUAAGCAACCCCAGAUAUUCUGGCAAGAUCUGUGGUAUUUUAUUUCACUUCCUCAGUAACAGUAGUCAUUGUUGGCACCUGGAAAUGACUGUGAAAAUACAGAUCCCUGUAAAGCUGGGUAAAUAAAGGGACAUGCUCCACUUCUGCUUGUCAGUAGAAGAAACUGUGACGUCUGACAGUUAUUAAUGAAAAUAUUUUCUCAAUCUCUGCCAUAAAGAAUGCAGAGGCAAAAUAAAUCCUUGGUAAAAUCUGUUCCCAAAAUAAGCCAGCAUAGAUGCAGUUCAGAGCCAGAAACUUCCACCGCCAUAGAAUUUAGUUAAGGAUCUUAAGACAAAAAGGUAACCUGUUUUUCCAUGAACUCAAAGUUACAAAUGCUGCCAUGAAUGUGUGUCUAUGAAGAGAACCACCAUCUUAAACAGCUGAAAGUUCCCUUUUGUCCAUCAGUCUUUUUCAGAGGGAAAAAAACUGCUGUUGUCUUGGUUGUCCUCAGCAUUGUGUAUUAGAACUGCCUGCUCUGAAGCAGGACUUUUCUCUGAUCCUAUAGUUAACAUUGCAUCUGAUCCUGCUGGGCUUAACUGGGAAAUCUUGUGUUGACUGAAUAUGGCUUUUGUUUGAAUAAAGAAAUUGAAGAGCUCUCUGGAAAAGCUGGGCCUAGUUCCAAUUUUCUUCUCAAUUCUAAAAUAAAAGGAUGCUGUCAAGGUAUUUGUGAUUUAUGGGGGCAAAUGUGUUUCUCUCCUUCAAAAUCUUGUAUCGCUUUGGCAGCAGUAUAACAUCUUUUCUGAUUCAUUUUAUUCUAUGCACCUUUUCAGUUUAUUCAGGAUAAAAUAAUAAAAUAAAUGUGUGCUUUAAUUUAGAGGAAAAGAGAUAAGACUUUCUCUUUGGGAGGAAAGCGCGCUCUCACCGGGGUUCUGAGGACACGUCAUGCUAAUUGUUGGUGACUUUUAAAACUGCUCUUUGUGGUGCAAGAGACGAAAAAUUCUGUGUAGACUGAGGGCUUUCCAAAACGCUAAAUGCUUUCUUUUGCUUGGUUUCCCACAUUUUUGGCCAAGGAGAAAAACAGUUGAGACUGUCACUGUGAGCAUGUUUCCUUCCUGUCUUGUAUUGGGAUGCACUGUUUGUUUAUUACAUGCCUCAAAAAUGUGAUGGAUGUGAACAGAUUCUGUUGAAUUUAUGGUCUUCUGGGAUGACAAUAAGAAAAAGAAAAAAAAAAAAGUGCACCUGCAGUUUCUUAUCUUCAUACUCUUUUCAUGGAAAGUAUCCUGCACAAAACCUGCUGCCAGCCCAUGACGUUCUGAUGUGGAGACAAAAAGAUUUUUGGAUUAAUGACAUACAACCUCAUGCCCAGUGAAUGCAACCAGCCUUCCCCAGCAGGGGAAGCCAAACUCAGCUGGAGACUUUCUACUCAUAUGAGUGUGUGGGUUGCCAAACAGCAGGAUGCUCUUCAAAGGAUGUCCUCCAAAAGUGCCUUUGGUCUCCAUACCUGAAGCAUGUUAAAUUUUGGCUAAAUUGCAAAGCAUCUUCCUUUCUUUGUCAGUCUUAAAGUCCUGGUAGCAGAAAGUGGACUUGGCUCCUUUUAAACUGCAGUGGGAUGUAUAAUCUGCUUGAUAAAGCAUCCUUAGCAGAAUAAGAUAGGUAAUCUUUUCUGGAGGAAAAAUGGAGUAAAAGCUCCAGUGAAUAAAUACAAGAUUGUUUUCAACACUCUCCUCCUGGACUCCUGCUGUUGAGUGACUGCAAAAUUCAGAGAGAUUAUUUUGGCAGUUCCAAAAAUCUGUCACACAGAUCGGAGUUUUUUUUUCCCUUGCAUUUGUCAAUGUGUGACUAAGCACAAGUAUUACAGGAAGCAUGGAAAUGUUUGGGCUUUAAAGAAUGGUUGUGGAAAAAGACCUCCUACUGGUUUAACAACUGCUGUUUAAUAAAAUAAUUUUCGGAUGUCCAAAUUGCUGAUUGUUCCGCUGAGGGUUACGUUCUGACCAGAAGGGAUCCCACCAGUCCCAUGUCAUCAGCCUGGGCACUUUGUGAAGUUUUCUGCAGCCAUUUCCUGCUUCAAAACAAUGAAGGAUGAGAGAUGCUCAUCGUUACUCCCUAUGGUGCAGGGAAGUGUUCAUCUCAGUCUCUAGGACGGCAUCAAAAUCUGAGGAGAAGGAGUCAAAACAGUUUCACUGAGGCAGCCAGCAGAUGCCAGGAAGUGUUGCUUAUUGACAUUAAUCAUUACCCUGUUGAUAGCCCUGGGCGUGCUGCUGUAAUUGACCAGAACCAAAUCCAGUAAUCAUAUCAUGGAAAAUAUACAUCACAUUUAUUUCACAUCUGAAUUGCAGUAAUAUGAAUUCAUGGCAAAAUUCUCAGUGACUACGUCAGAAGCAGGAGGAGAGCCUUUGUCUGCUAGCACAGAUGUAACUAAGCUGUUAAGUACAGUCUGAUGUGCUUAGGCAGGAGGCUGAGGCUACAUCAAGAAGUUAUAAAAUUAUCCUCCAGGAUCUUGUAGCCUAAAUCCUAUUCAGAUAAAUAUAGAGAAGUCUCUGUAGUUUGUAGUGUUUGUAGAACUGUGUUUUCCAAUUGUGUUUUCUGUUGUUUUCUUUGAGCAUUACCCUUCAAUAGAUGGGGCUGCUACAAUCUCUUCAAAGAAUAUAAAUACUCUAUUAAGAAUGUGUAAAAAGGCCUUCCAAUAAGACAGUUGAAGAAGCGUUUCUUUUUACAAAAUUAUCUACAGAAAAUGAUGAGAACAAACAACAGCUGAACAGUAAAGCAUCAAGAAGAAACACAUCUGAGGUUUAAUUUGAUCACUUUAUGCCUGGGAAACAGAAUGAGGAGUUAGUUAUUGAGCAAUAUUUGUAUCACAUUGACUAUUGUGUUAAUGAAUUCAAUUUUUAUUAAAUAGCAUCAACAUGUUAGAUACUACACUGGAAAGAAAUAAAGAUCAGUAGUUAGCCAAAGUAGUCAACUGAUUUUCUUUCUAUGGUGAACAUAAAAUCUAUGUUGUUUGUUCAACAAAACAGUUCUUAAAGAGAUGAGGCUUGAGAAUACCUUAAGUUGCCAUGAACGGCAGGGUCCAGGGGGAACAGAAAAGAUUUGAUGUCAAAACUUGACUGCAGAUAUUCCUUUUGACCAUUUCUUAGAGUCUUCCCUUACUUAGCUUACUUCCUAAGGAAGACAGCUUCUUCAUAAUGAUAAGGAAACAGGCUGGUGCACGCAGCUGCCUUACCUUCACAAAUUCACUUUGGAGAUCUUUAAAAUUUUCUGUUUCUUUCAUGUUUUCAUCUUUCUUUUUAGUCAUUGUGGUACUUUUAAAUACUGUGGUAUUUAAAAGCUAAACAAAACCCAGAGUGUAGCCUUUUUGUUUCAGUUCUCCAGUAACAGAAAUAUUGCAGUCAACCAAAACUUCAAAAGCUACAAAUUUAAGUUGACUGUUGCAUCUUAUCCAGCCGCAUACUACUUCAGUUUGGGAAGCAUAUGCAUUUUAACAGUGAUUCUCAGUUUUCAAACCUAAUUAUUAGUAGCCAGAGAGAAAUGGUUGAGACAUUUCUGUUUUUCUCUAACUUGAUCCACAUGGGAUCUCCUUUGAAAAACUUGUUGCUGUAAAUUAAGCAAAUCCUUAGGUGAUUUGUUGUCUUAAAACUUCUGAGCCCAGGUUGAAUGUGCUGUACAAUCAUAUUAUUUCCUUGUUGAAAACUGUACACCUUUGGUAAUGAAAUCAGAACACAAUGAAGUUGGAAUCCAUCCUACCGUGACUUUAUCCACACCUUUCUGCUCUAUAUAGACCUGCACUUAAAAGAACUGGUGAAAAAUUCACAGUCCUGCUGCUUUCCCUGCGUCUACCCAUUCCUAGGAAAUGGCUGUCAGGUCAGUUAGUUAUGUCCCAAGAGGAAAAACUUUAAAACCAAAGCUAUCAAGGUUGAAUUUCAUAUUGCUGUACCUCCAGAAAGGUUUGAGUUACAUUAAUGAUGAUUUUGUGGUUGAAUUUCUUGGCCAGGGUGGUAAGUGAAGGACUUCCUGGUAAUGAGAUGCUCACCUAACUGGCUGGAUGUCCAAAUUUUCCUCUUAGUAUUCAGCAAACCUGUAGGCUGCUUAAAAUUCACCUUUUUCCAUGUAUAUUCUUGGCCCCAGCUGCUUUUCCAAGUGCCAAAACUUUGCUAGGAAAAAAUGAAGACCCGUAAGAAUGCAUACUCUGAUUUUACUUCAUGGAAGAGAAAUCUUUUUCUAUGCUGGCAUUAAACUCUUGAAGGUGAACAAAGAGGGAGACAUGCCUAGAAAUGCACAAAGAAGCUGGGUUAAUUAAGAGAGCUCCCACUGCCCUCCUUCAUGAAAGCUGUUAUGCUUUUGAAACCCUGGAGAUGGUUUCACUGUGAAUUUGUGAGGUUAGGAAUACAGCUGGGAUGCUGAGACUGUGGGCUGGGUGGUAUGUAUAGAAUGUGUUUGAUCAGUUUCCCCAGUUGUAUUAGAAAGAGAUGGCAUAAAAGAAACAGGGUGGAAAUAAGCAGAAAGGAUGAGCAGCUCCCUCUGGGAUAAGUCUGAACUGAUUUAGAUUGCGGGAAAUCACUUUUUAUGUUGAAUGUAUUUUCUUAGAGAUUUCAGUGGGGAGAUUUUUUUUUUCUGGUCUGUAUCAAAAUCACAGAAAAUAGUUUUUAGCCUUCAGAAGCACAUGACUCAAACUUUGCCAUUCAUUUUGCCAGACGUUAGCAAAGCAAGGUAAGGCCCAAAUUUCUGUGUAUACUUUCUUUCAAGUAAUGUACCAAUCUCAUCUCACCCUCAUUAUUUUACACAAUUAACGUUAGUCAGUUUUCAGUGAUUUUCACUGUUCCAAAAAAUACUUUUCUUGCCUGAAACACACCUACUGUGGGUGUACUUGAACACUACUAUCACUGGUCUAAAUACAUGUAAUUGCAGCAUGUUGGACAAACAACAUGGGUGAUGGAAAACAUGGUGCUGCUCUUUAUAAGUCAUUGAAGUUGAACAAUGAAUCUUCAUCGCACCCUGUUAAGCUUACCAAAAUUAAGGUUGUCCAGGAGAUCAUAACACUUUCAUAAAAAGGAGGUACUUACAGCACUGUAAGUCGUAUUUGGAGGCAAAAGCACCUUCAGCUCUCAGUGAGUAUAUAGAAUGGUGCUGACAUGCAUCAGAAUGCGUUGUGUCUCCUCUUCCCUGGUGAGCUGGGCUCUGAUCAUCUGAUUCCUGUACCAGCAAGGAGGGAUUUCCUUUGAUGACAGGACCAUGGAUAAACAUGGCAGAAAGUAAAGAGCAUUAAUGAUAACAGAUGUUGUAGUGUUUUGCUGUGUUUACAAGACUCCUCUGUACUUUGUGUAUAAUAUGAAUUAUAUAUAAAUGAUUGAUUCUCAUUUGAUUAAUAUAAGAUGAAAUGAGCAGCUCAGAGCUUUCUAAAGAUG